RNAcentral lists this ribosomal RNA (492 nucleotides) under uncultured bacterium. Its description in RNAcentral is "partial 16S ribosomal RNA". It matches the Rfam family "Bacterial small subunit ribosomal RNA", at positions 29 to 507 of the family's 1533-position model. The record is from RNAcentral.
AGUGAACGCUGGCGGUAGGCCUAACACAUGCAAGUCGAACGGCAGCACAGUAAGAGCUUGCUCUUACGGGUGGCGAGUGGCGGACGGGUGAGGAAUACAUCGGAAUCUACUUUUUCGUGGGGGAUAACGUAGGGAAACUUACGCUAAUACCGCAUACGACCUACGGGUGAAAGCAGGGGAUCUUCGGACCUUGCGCGAUUGAAUGAGCCGAUGUCGGAUUAGCUAGUUGGCGGGGUAAAGGCCCACCAAGGCGACGAUCCGUAGCUGGUCUGAGAGGAUGAUCAGCCACACUGGAACUGAGACACGGUUCAGACUCCUACGGGAGGCAGCAGUGGGGAAUAUUGGACAAUGGGCGCAAGCCUUAUCCAGCCAUAACGCGUGGGGGAAGAAGGCCUUCGGGUUGUAAAGCCCUUUUGUUGGGAAAGAAAAGCAGCAGGUUAAUACCCCGCUGUUCUGACGGUACCCAAAGAAUAAGCACCGGCUAACUUCGUG